GGGAGAGAGCACCAUUUUCCCUACUUGGCAAUCUGUGAGGUGAUUUACUGUCACUAAAAGCUUUGGG
Molecule: non-coding RNA, 67 nt
Organism: Myotis lucifugus (little brown bat)
Lineage: Eukaryota; Metazoa; Chordata; Mammalia; Chiroptera; Vespertilionidae
Source: Rfam